RNAcentral lists this ribosomal RNA (253 nucleotides) under uncultured bacterium. RNAcentral's name for it is "partial 16S ribosomal RNA". It matches the Rfam family "Bacterial small subunit ribosomal RNA", at positions 524 to 776 of the family's 1533-position model. The record is from RNAcentral.
UACGUAGGGACCGAGCGUUGUCCGGAUUUAUUGGGCGUAAAGAGCGUGUAGGCGGCCAGGUAGGUCCGUUGUGAAAACUGGAGGCUUAACCUCCAGCUGUCGAUGGAAACCAUCUGGCUAGAGUCCGGAAGAGGAGAGUGGAAUUCCUGGUGUAGCGGUGAAAUGCGCAGAUAUCAGGAAGAACACCCGUGGCGAAGGCGGCUCUCUGGGACGGUACUGACGCUGAGACGCGAAAGCGUGGGGAGCGAACAGG